Molecule: ribosomal RNA, 253 nt
Filed under: uncultured bacterium
Lineage: Bacteria
Description: partial 16S ribosomal RNA
Rfam family: Bacterial small subunit ribosomal RNA
Source: RNAcentral
UACGAAGGGGGCGAGCGUUGUUCGGAAUUACUGGGCGUAAAGCGUGCGCAGGCGGUUUGUUAAGUCCGUUGUGAAAUCCCCGAGCUCAACUUGGGAAUUGCAAUGGAUACUGGCGAGCUGGAGUAUGGUAGAGGAAGGUGGAAUUCCCGGUGUAGCAGUGAAAUGCGUAGAGAUCGGGAGGAACACCAGUGGCGAAGGCGGCCUUCUGGACCAAUACUGACGCUCAUGCACGAAAGCGUGGGGAGCAAACAGG